This 651-nucleotide ribosomal RNA is filed under the name Salmonella enterica. RNAcentral's name for it is "partial 23S ribosomal RNA". It matches the Rfam family "Bacterial large subunit ribosomal RNA", at positions 1154 to 1773 of the family's 2925-position model. RNAcentral also lists the same sequence under 1 other name. Lineage: Bacteria; Pseudomonadati; Pseudomonadota; Gammaproteobacteria; Enterobacterales; Enterobacteriaceae. The record is from RNAcentral.
CGUAUCACCCAAGACAACUUUACGGAGUUGACGAUUGACGGAGCGAAGCGACGUCAAAGCGUUCAUUAAAGUCGAGUUGGCUUAGGGAUACGUUCGUUGGGUAGGGGAGCGUUCUGUAAGCCUGUGAAGGUGUGUCGUGAGGCAUGCUGGAGGUAUCAGAAGUGCGAAUGCUGACAUAAGUAACGAUAAAGCGGGUGAAAAGCCCGCUCGCCGGAAGACCAAGGGUUCCUGUCCAACGUUAAUCGGGGCAGGGUGAGUCGACCCCUAAGGCGAGGCCGAAAGGCGUAGUCGAUGGGAAACGGGUUAAUAUUCCCGUACUUGGUGUUACUGCGAAGGGGGGACGGAGAAGGCUAUGUUGGCCGGGCGACGGUUGUCCCGGUUUAAGCGUGUAGGUGUGUGUUCCAGGUAAAUCCGGUUCACUUUAACACUGAGGCGUGACGACGAGGCACUACGGUGCUGAAGCAACAAAUGCCCUGCUUCCAGGAAAAGCCUCUAAGCAUCAGGUAACACGAAAUCGUACCCCAAACCGACACAGGUGGUCAGGUAGAGAAUACCAAGGCGCUUGAGAGAACUCGGGUGAAGGAACUAGGCAAAAUGGUGCCGUAACUUCGGGAGAAGGCACGCUGACACGUAGGUGAAGUGAUUUACUCA